This 377-nucleotide long non-coding RNA is filed under the name Phascolarctos cinereus (koala). Its description in RNAcentral is "lncRNA (ENSPCIG00000034300.1)". The record is from RNAcentral. Lineage: Eukaryota; Metazoa; Chordata; Mammalia; Diprotodontia; Phascolarctidae.
AUGUUUGUGUCCAUGUUCAACUACCUCUGGGGAGUCCAUCAUUGUGCCUUCUACCUUCCAACCCCACCAGGAGGCUGACUUUGUGAUUCAAGACUUCACUAUGAAAUGUAGCAAACUUCAGGAGUUAGAUUAUGUUCUCACUGCAGCACUGCCUGAUCUGGAGAAAAUUAAUGAGGGUGAUGUGGAAGGAUCCCUUAAGAAAAUAUUUGAGCAACUAGAAGGAGAGGACAAGGAGGUUGACAUCCACGGGUUUGGAAAAAUACUCAACAAGAUGAUCUCCAAAGGCCACCUUCUGCAAAUAUGAUCCAGACAAGUCUGGCACCAUGAACUCCUACGAGAUGCGCCUGGCCGUGGAAGCAGCCAAUGAAGAGGGCGAC